Molecule: long non-coding RNA, 368 nt
Organism: Cyanistes caeruleus (blue tit)
Lineage: Eukaryota; Metazoa; Chordata; Aves; Passeriformes; Paridae
Source: RefSeq, a predicted model, not a curated record
AGCAGCUUCAGCUUCCUCAGCUCCCAAAGCUAUCUUAAAGUUGUCUCAAGCAAGUCUAACAACAGAAUAAUGUCUGAAGAAAAGCAGAGGUCUCACAGCCUGAUGUUCCAGUGAGGCCCAGAAGAACACUGCACCUGGAUACCAGCCAACAGCCCCUCACUUCACCCUGGGAAACAAGGCUUAUUAUCAAUCUGCUUCAUUAAGGAGGAAGCCUCAUGAAAUAUGGCAUCUACUGGAUUUGCUUCAUUGGUGAUGAAUCCAAGAGUGAACUCCAGAUUAUCCAGUUUGAAGUACCUCAAGGUUGUGGGCUAGUGAGCACAUGUAAUUCCAUUUUGAUAUAUUCCAUGUGUAAUUUUUCCACAUGUUGA